This 7394-nucleotide long non-coding RNA is filed under the name Gossypium barbadense (sea-island cotton). Its description in RNAcentral is "long non-coding RNA (GBAR_LNC003873)". The record is from RNAcentral. Lineage: Eukaryota; Viridiplantae; Streptophyta; Magnoliopsida; Malvales; Malvaceae.
AAGAGACAUACAUAUCAUUGACGGUGAAGAUUUCCUUGGCUACCUCACUCGAAUUCACCACCAGGGCUGGGUGAACACCAAUCCGGAUCAUGUAGGCAGGUCCAUAUUUCUCACCUAAGUCUCCCAAUGUUUCAUGAGGGGUCUUGGGUCCGCCUAACAGCGGAAGGUGACCGAUUAUUGGCCAUGCACCGGCUGCUACGGGUGCAGCUUUGCUGCUACUUCCUGAGCUAGACUUCUUGAGUUUGGUGUACAAAAACAGUAGCGUGAUGCCUAACACUACUGCAUAACCAAAAGUGGAGAAAUCAAGAAGAUCCAUCACUGCUGUGUUAAGAAAGUGUAGAGAUCUUCUGAAGAAAUUGAUGAUGGGAAUGUCUUGCCUUUUGCACUUAUAAAUAUAGCUGGGGUGCCAAGACGCCAACGGUCAAGCUUGUCCUUGUGGAAAUUGAAUUUUUUAAUUCUAUUUUAUUAUCAUUGAAUAAAGCUCCGUCAUCAAUGUUUGAAUGGUAUUCAGGUGCCAUACUGGUUCAUCCACUGAAGUCAAAGAAAAUACUAACAAGUUCAAAACCUUAAAUAGGCUACGGAACCAUCCAAGCAGUUAAGACUAAAGCCGAAUCCCUAACCAUAAAGUGGGUCUAUAUGGAUGUUAUUGUUCCAUCUUUUAUGAUCAUUUGAACUAAAAGGUAAAUCGGUCGGUAUCAACACAUUUAGCUUGAUAGUUAAAUUAAUCAUGUGAUGCGAGAGGGCUCUUCAAUAAUGGCAACUACAUUAAGAUAGUAAGGUCCUCCGUUUUCAACACAUUGUAUAUUUUAAUACAUUGGUCACUUAUGUAGGUGAGAGGGUUCUUGUUUGGCGGCUUAUACUUUAAUAACAUUUCCAGGUUUUUUCUCUUCUUUUUUGGCUGUCCCACUGCUAACUGCUUAAUUAGUCGGUCAGCUCCUUUCUAAAAUAAGAUAUAUAGAAGAUGUAAUAAAAAAUUUUAGGUUCUUGUUUGGCGGCUUAUACUUUUAUAACAUUUCCAGGUUUUUUUGUUCUUUUUUGGCUGUCCCACUGCUAACUACUUAAUUAGUCGGUCAGCUCCUUUCUAAAAUAAGAUAUAUAGAGGAUGUAAUAAAAAAUUUUGGUUGGUUAAAAUUGAGAUUUAUUUUUGUAUGUAAGUAAAAAUGUAAUUUUAUUAUUUUAAUAAUUUAUAUUUUUUGUAAUUUUUAAAAAAUUUAAUUAAUUUUUUUUAUUAUUUUAGAGGUGAAGUGCAAUUUUAUUAUAACUAAUUUAAAAUUUUAUAAAUUAUUAAAAUGUCAAAAGAAGGAUUUUUUAUUUUAAGAGGGUCCAGGGCACCACCGGGUACACAAGACCCUUAAAAAAAUUAAUUGAAAUCUUAUACUAAAUUUGCAUUCAAUUCAACUUCUACAGUUAAUAAAAAAAUAAUUAAACCCUUCCGUUAAUAGUUUCUAUCUUUAAUUAUGUUACUAUUAAAAUCAAUUGAUAAAUCAAUCAAAUGACGACACGUGAAAGCUUUUGAUUUAAUCAUAUAAUUUCCUCAUUAAAAAUCAUAAAAAUGUUAUAAAAAAUUAAAAAUAUAUAUAAACUUAUAAAACCUAUAAAAAUUAUAAAAACUUAUAAUAAAUUAUACAAAUAGUAAAAAAUAAAACAUAUUAAAAAUAUUUAUAAAUUAUAAAUAUUAUAAAAAAUCUAGUAAUCUAAUAAUUAUCAAUAAUUAUAAAACUUAUAAAAAUUAGAAGAAAUUAUGAAAAAUUGUAACUUUAUUUAAAACUAUAAAAUGUUACAAAUAUAUAAAUAUUUAUUUAUUUGUUCCUCGUUUUAUAAAUUAAACCCCUAAAAUUAAAAUAAACACGCGACUUUAAAUCAACUUUUGGAUAAUGAGAAUAGUCGUUUGAAUAUUUUAUGUUAACAUACAUUAAUAUUUACAACCAUUGGAUAAUAAGUUUGGUUUUAUAAUAUCUAACUGUACCAAAAAACUUUAUAUUAUACUAUAAACAUUUUUCAAACUUUUGGAGUUCCAAACUAUUGUAUUGUACUUUAAAAACUAAAUAUAAAAAUUUUAAAAUUAAAAACAAUAAGUUAUCAAUAAAAAGGAAAGAGCCUCUUAAUCAUCAUUAUAUUAUUUUUGGAAGAUUGAUAAUAUUUCAUUCAACACGAAAAUGAUCUUAACGAUCUCACUAUUAUUCUCAUUGUUCGAUAGUUAAUCUCAUAUGAUGUGUUUGUUAUGAUUUUAGGGUUUAACUACCUUUUUAUAAUUUCUAAUGUUUUCUAAUUUUUAAUAAUUUUAUAAGUUUUUAUAAAAUUUAAUAGAAAUUUUUGUAAGUUUAUAUAAUUUUAUUAGUUUUAUAAUUUUUUUAAGAUUAAAUAAAAAAGGUUAACUUAUUUUAAUAAUCAAUAUGAUGAAAAGACAAAAAAAUAUUAAGAGAAGUUCUUAAUUAAUUUUUUUUAUUAAUUGUAAGAAUUCAAUUGGGUUUAAUUUCAUCGAAAGUAGGUAGACUUGUUGGCCAUGCUGGGUUGGAUAUCAUUUUGUCGACUUUGAGGAUUCAGUGUCCACUAUUCUCAAGUAACGUAGACUUUUCUUUUCUUUUUUUUAGUAUAUAAUAUGAUAUUAAUAUAUAAAGACACCAAAUUUGAAGAAAGUUUACUUCAAGAUUAUUAAAAUGUAUCCUGGGAAAUUUUUUUACCCAUCAAAUUACUCAUAUUCUUCAUUGACUUAUUUAAUAUAAUACAGGACACCAAAAUUGAAGAAAGUUUAAUUUAAUCCAAAUUCAAGUUUAUUAAAAUGUAUCUUACAAUUUUUCUUUAACCCAUCAAUGUAAUAUUAUUUGAUACACUUUCGAUAGAGAUUUUAGAUAUAAUAGGGUCAGUAGGUGAUAAGUAUUUUAUAAAAAUAUAAUAAAAUAUUUUUUUUUAAAAAAAGCAUGACAAUUUUUAAAAACUACUUAUAAAAUAAAAAAAUAUAUUAUUAAUAUAUUAAAUACAAAUCCUAUUAAUAUAUACCAACACCAAAAUUGAAGAAAGUUUAAUUUUGUAAGAUCCACUUCAAAUUUAUUAAAAUUCAUCUUGGAAAUUUUUUUAACCGAUAAACUUUAUAUUGUUCACUGAAUGACAAUUUUUUUCAUUUUUUAUUUUAUUAUUUUAUCAAAUGAUUCUGAUUAAAUGAACUUAUUUGGAGAGGGAUGAUUGAUUAGUAUAUAUAAAGCUUGGACAGGCCUGGUUCACCACUGCCGUCUGAAAUUGAAAGAGCCACCAAGAGGGUGAAUGACAAAGACAAUAAUGAACUGGAUCCUAGGGAUCAGAAGAUGGAGGACUCUCAUGGUUGGAAGGAAUCUCAUGGGAAGGAAACUGUUUUACUUGAUCACGAUGAGUUUGAGCUGUUUGGAUGAUGAUAAUAAUGCAGCCUCGCCAAUACCCAAAAAUAUUUUUUUUUCCUACGGUUUAUAAUAGUUGAACUUUUAGUGGUAUAAUAAAUAUGAUUUUAGAAUUUUAUUUCUAUAAAUCAGAUUAAUAAAUAUUAAAUAUUAAUAUUUAUGAGAAUAUAUAAAAAUAUAUUUAAAAUUGGCUUAAUAAUUUUGUCAAUUAUAUAGUUAACCAAGGCUCAAAGAUUAAAUUGUAAAAAUUUCAAUCGUUAUAAAUUUUUAAUUGAUUGAAGACUUAAAUAACAAUUAAUCAAUGACUAAAAUGAUAAAUAAAUCAUUUUGUAAUAUAAGAUAGUAGAUGAUGAUGCUGUUUUCCAAUUGUAAUUAAAGUAAACUAAUUAAGGAUUAGGUUAAUUAAUCAAGGUUAACUAAUUUUUAAUUAAGGUAUAAAAGUUAAAUUUAGUGGAGGAGAAUUUGUCAUCUUCCUCAUUUGCUCUUCUUGUCGUCCAUUGAAGAAAGCCUAAUGAAAAAUACUAAAGACAUCCUGCCAUUGAUUUUAAGAUAAAUUCAAGUCAUUUUAUUAAGAUUUUUAUGAAUUUAGAGUUCUGGGAGUUUGAUUUGGCUAAUUUAUGUACCAAUUUGUAAAACUGUUAAAGUUUUAGAAAGUUGCAUAUUGUUGAUUUAUUGAAGAAUUAGGCUUGAAAUUGAUAGAUUUUAAACUUAAAAAAUAAAAAAGAACUAGAUUGUAAAGUUAAUUUAGCUUGUUUGUUAAUUUUGUUACAUUAGGAAUCAAAUUAAAUAAAUAUAAAACUUAUCAUGAAAUUAUAUUAGAAAUAGAAAGUAUAAGGUUCAAAAUAAAAAUAUGUGAAAUCGGAUUUUAAUUCGAAUCUAAGAAUUGAAAGUUAUGACUAUCCCGACUAUAGGUUCAUGCAUAUCAUAGAAUAGUAUGGAGAUACUUGGUAUUGAUUAAUGAUAUAAAAUGAUUGUUUAGAUCAAGAAUCGGAUCGAAGAGAAGUUGAUCGGGAAAAAACUAAAAUUGCGAAUUAGCCCCUAAAGUAUCCGCUUUGCAUAUUUUGAACAAAUAAGUUCAAAUGAAACUUAUCACUCUCUUUUAUUUUAUGUAUAUAUUAAUUAUGUUUGAAUUUAUCUAUAUGCUAGAAUUUAGUUAAUUUGGCACAUAUGACUUAAAAUUGACUAAAUUGAAAAGUCAUGUGGAUAUUGAUUAUUAUGAAAUAGUACAGGGUGCAAAUAUGAAUGUUGAUUUAUUACAGAACUCGUAAAUGAAAUAUGUAAUCAUGUACAUAUUGGAUCUGGUGACUUAAGUGUAGUAUAUUCGUUUAUACAAUUGUAAUUUUUUCGAAUAAAUUGGUUAAUAAAUUAUUAGUGAAUUACAAUAAUACCCUUUGUAUAUUGUCCUCACGUGAUUUUUGCAUGUAAAACAAAUAUUAGUUCAGUGGUUAUCUAAUGUUUAAAUAAUACUAAAUGGUAUUACGUGGUCGGAUUGUAAAACGGAUAGAUAUCUAAUAUUAGUAGACAACUUAUAAAAUAACAUGUUAUUUCCGAUUAGAUUAAGGACAUGUUUAGAUUCGCCUACUAAUAUAAGUUGUUUUUCCGUAUUAUGAUCCGACCACAUAAUACCACUUAGUAUUAGUUUAAACAUUAGAUAACCAGUAAACCAAUAGUUGUUUUUAUUUUUACUUUGCAUGCAAAAACUAUACAAAGACAUUAUACAAAGUAUAUUAAUGAAAUUCAUAAAUUAUUUUAUUAACCAAUCUGUUUGAAAAAAUUACAAAUUUACAAACUAAUAUACUACACUUAAAAUAUAGAUCUAACAAAGAUAAAUAAUUAUUAUAGAUAUUUGUAUAUAUAUAUAUAUAUAUAUAUGAUGGUUGAGUUAAUUGUUAUUCAUGUGUUUAAUUAAAAGCAUGAUAGAAAUUGGGUUAUGUAAAAUACAUAGCGAUGAUGUAAGGCAUUAUUUGAAUAGCCAAUAUUUAAAUCAUCUACAUUUAUGCUAUGCCUCGCUAUGUUCCCAUAUUUGAACUUAUUUACUUUUCCUUGAUAAAUUUUUUGUAAUAUACCUUGAUAAACUUUUUGUAAUAUUGAAACCUUGAACCAAAAUUUCAUAAAUUCUAAUUAAUGGGAAAAAAAGAAGAUAAUACGUAUCUCAAAAUGCUGACUCCCAACUCUUUAACAUAGUCGUGCAGGGUGAUGCUAGCAUAUUAGACACAACAAGUAGAAACGCAUAGCAGAAAAAUGAAGUCAACAUUUGCCAAAAAAAAAAUAUUGAACCUAAAUUUGAGAGCAAAGCAUUUUCAUGUUUACCAUAUAAACAAUAUUAAAUCUAGAUGUUUACCAUUAUUGAUUCCAAAAAAGAGAAAAAAGGAGGAGUGUAAUAGAUACAGACAUACUCAAAUUAAAUAAUAAUACAACAAUAAAAUCAAAAUGCAUAAGCAUUAUUGUUCUUCACACCUGAUUAUUGCCAUCUUCAUCUAAAUUUUAAUUAUAAAGUUCAGGAGCAAGGCGAGGUGAGACCAAGGCUUCAAGCGGUGUAGAUUUAAUGUUAGUCAAUCCAGCGGUGCCGGUCAAGUCAAUCAAACCAUUGGAUGGUGUUGAGAAAUCGAAGGCGUGCAAAAAAUUAGACAUGGUCAAGAACAACAUAUGGAGUGCAAACGAUGUUCCAGGACAACUCCUCCUACCGCUGCCAAAGGGCAUUAGUUCAAAAUGUUGACCCCUAACAUCCACAUCUUUGUGGGUAGUGAGAAACCUCUCGGGCUUAAACUCCAAUGGUUCUGGCCAUUUUUUAGGAUCCCUUUGAAUCUUGUGAAGGUUUAUGAUCAACCGAGUGCCUUUGGGGAUGUCGUAGCCUCCAAUGGAGCAAGUUUCACUGAGCUCACGAGGUGCUGACAGAGGUGCAGGUGGAUACAAUCUUAAUGUCUCUUUAACUAUGGCUUGAAUGUACACCAAUUUGCCGAUGUCUGUUUCAUUCACAAACCUAUCCUUGCCUAUAUGGGUGUCUAGUUCUUCUUGAGCCUUUUUGAGUAUAUGAGGUUUAUUUAACAUGAGGGAAAGACCCCAUAUUAAGGUAACUGUUGUUGUGUCACUGCCUGCUAAAAUCAUAUUCUGCAAUAUGCAUUUUUCAUAAUUUUUAGAAUUUUAGAAUUGAAUAAUGGAGAGAUAAGAAUUGAAAAAAGAACGAGUAAAAUGUUAUACCAAAGAAGUGGCUUUGUUGAUGGUGUCAGCAUCAUAUCCGGCAAGACUUGCACCUUUAAGAACGGAGUUCAUCACAUCCAUGAAAUCCUUCUCCUUUUUAUUUUCAUCCCAGCGUCCACUCUUCCUAUGGUCAUCUAGCCAUCCCCCGGAAAUUUCAUCCAACUCUUUAGCAGUUAUCUUCAUCCGCUUUUCAUAACCACCAAUAUCCAACCAUCGGAGGAAAGGGACUGCAUCUCCCAACACAAACAUCCCUGUCAAGUGAAAGAAAUCCCGUAGAGCCUUACGAUAUCUCAACACCUCUUUUUGGUCUUCCUCUGCGACAACACUGUACCUCUUACCAGCAACCGUCCUCAUAAUAACGUUCAAAGUCAAGUCUGAAAAGUGUUUUUUCAUCUCAACCAACACCUUACCCGAGCCAUCCUUUUUCUCGGCCCAAGUUUUAUAUAAUAGUUUCAUUGAGCCUUCUAUUUCCGAGACAAAAACUUUCUUGAGUUGAUCGAUCCUGUGAUUAGAUAGCACCUCCAACAUUGUUAUUUUGCGCAUUUCACGCCAGUAUUGUCCAUAAGGAGAGAACCCAAACAUGGCAUAGUUGUAACCCAAGUGUUCUGCGGCCGCAAAUUCGGAACGGGAGGAAACAUACAUAUCAUUGACGGUGAAGAUUUCCUUGGCCACCUCACUCGAAUUCACCACCAAGGCUGGAUGAACACCGAUCCGGAUCAUGUAGGCAGGUCCAUAUUUCUCUUCCAAGUCUCCUAAUGCUUCAUGAGGGGCCUUGGGUCCACCUAACAGCGGAAGGUGACCGAUUAUUGGCCAUGCACCGGCAGCUAC